GAAGAAGUGGUGAAACCCGCCUCUAAUAAUGAAGAAGAUGAUAAGGAAGAAGAGGGUUCCUUUUCUCUAAAUUUGGAUGAUCCCGGGAAUUGGAAAAUCAUUGAUCAGACAACAAGGGAUUACUUAGUUGAAAGGGGUCCAAAAAGAGUUGAUAACAUUUCAUUUCCAAAAGAUUGAACAAAUAGACAUUUCGAUUCUUCACAAUAUAAGCGACUGCUACGAAAUGGGCAAACAAUUGAUAGAAGAUGGCUAGUAUAUUCAAUAUCUAUGGACAGGAUCUUCUGCUUUUGUUGCAAGUUAUUUAAAACACCUAAAAAUGUGACCAAAGUUAGCCAACUAGGUAAUGAUGGAUUCAAAGAUUGGCAUAAUUUGCAUCGGUCUAUGAAAAGUCAUGAAGGAAAUGAAGACCAUUUAUGUUGCAUGAUUGGCUGGAUUGAAUUGGAAAAUAGGCUUCGAACAAAAAUUACAAUUGAUAAAAGCGUUGAAUUGUUGAUCGAUGCAGAAAGAGAACAUUGGAGGCAUGUAUUAACAAGGAUAAUCGCUAUUGUUAAAAGACUUGCCAAAAAUACCUUGCCAUUUCGAGAAGAUAGUGAGAGGCUAAAUGUUGAGAAUAAUGGCCUAUUUUUACAAAUGGUGGAAAUGGUUAGUGAGUUUGAUCCAGUAAUGAAAGAGUACCUUCGGCAGGCUAAUGCGAGAGAGAUUCAAUACACGUAUCUUGGCAAAAAAAUCCAAAAUGAGUUGAUACAACUGUUGGCUAAUGAGGUGAGAAAUACAAUUGUUAAGAAAGUUAACAUGCAAAAUAUUUCACAGUUAUACUUGAUUGAACUCCAGAUGCAAGUCGUGAGGAGCAGAUGUCUUUAAUAGUACGAUUUGUAGAUGAUUCAGCAAACUUACCUACAGUUGAGGAACAUUAGCUUGAAUUUUUGAAGGUAGAUGACACAACAGGACUUGGACUUACAACUGAGCUUCAAAAGGCUUUGAUCAAAUUUGAUCUGGAUAUUGAUGACAUUAGAGGGCAAGGGUAUGAUAAUGGAUCUAACAUGAGCGGGAAGCACAAAGGUGUACAAAAAAGAGUACAUGAAAUAAAUCCCCGAGCUUUCUAUACUCCAUGUAGUGCUCAUAGUCUAAAUCUAGCAUUAUGUGAUAUGGUGAAUUGUUGUUCCAAAGCUGUAUCCUUCUUCGGAGUGAUACAACACAUCUACACUUUAUUUUCCUCUUUUACCAAGUGAUGAAAAAUUUUCAAAGAUAAUGUAAAAAGGGUUGACAGUGAAGCCAUUGUUACAAACACGUUGGGAAAGUCAUGUUGAGAGUGUAAAACCUAUAAUGGAGCAAACUGCACAAAUAAGAGAAGCCUUACUUGAUUUGGCAGAAUCUAACGAAGAUCCUAAAGUGAAGAGUGAAGCCGAGUCGUUAGCAACACAUGAACUUCAGAAUUUUGAGUUUUUGCUUGGCAUAGUAAUCUGGUACAGGUUGUUGCAUGCAGUCAAUAUUGUGAGUAAAUUUCUUCAAACUGAAUCCAUGGAUAUUGAUCGUGCUAUCGAUCUAUUGUAAGGACUUGUUUUAUUUUUUGAAGAUUAUAGAGAAAUCGAAUUUGCUGUUGCUAUGGAUGAAGCAACAAAAAAGGCAAACAAAAUGGGAAUUGAAGCUGUAUUUACAGAAAAAAGCAUAAUUCGAAGGAAAAAACAAUUUGAUGAAAGUGGUAAUGAUGAGGUAAAACAAUCAGCAAAAGAAUCUUUUAGAGUUGAGUACUUUGUUUUUAUAAUUGAUCAAGCUCUAUCUUCUCUGAGAGGUCGAUUUGAACAAUUCAAACAAUAUGAUGACAUAUUUGGAUUUUUGUUUAAUUUGAAAAAGUUAAGGGAUGCAACUUUAUCAAGUUUGUUGAACUCUUGUAUGAAUCUUGAGAAAUAUCUUGAAGAUGAUGGGCAUUCGGACAUCAGUGGAGAUGAUUUAUGUUUGGAAUUACAAGUCUUGAAGAUUUAUUUACCAAAUGAACCAACAAGAGCAAUUGAACUGCUGCAAUAUUUGAAGACUCACAAUAUUUGUUACCCAAAUGCUUAUAUUGCUUACAAAAUUUUGUUAACCAUACUGGUUACAAUUGCACCUGCGGCAAG
Molecule: long non-coding RNA, 2111 nt
Filed under: Olea europaea subsp. europaea
Lineage: Eukaryota; Viridiplantae; Streptophyta; Magnoliopsida; Lamiales; Oleaceae
Source: RNAcentral